UACAGAGGGUGCAAGCGUUGUUCGGAAUUACUGGGCGUAAAGCGAGUGUAGGCGGUCUCAUAAGUCGGGUGUGAAAGCCCUGGGCUCAACCCAGGAAGUGCACUCGAAACUGCGAGGCUAGAGUAUCGGAGAGGUUGGUGGAAUUCUCGGUGUAGAGGUGAAAUUCGUAGAUAUCGAGAGGAACACCGGUGGCGAAGGCGGCCAACUGGACGAAUACUGACGCUGAGACUCGAAAGCGUGGGGAGCAAACAGG
This 253-nucleotide ribosomal RNA is filed under the name uncultured bacterium. RNAcentral's name for it is "partial 16S ribosomal RNA". It matches the Rfam family "Bacterial small subunit ribosomal RNA", at positions 524 to 776 of the family's 1533-position model. The record is from RNAcentral.